GUCUUUUUGUUUUAAAUAGAAAGUUUAACCUGGCCCAUUGAAUAAUUUUAAAAGGCUGCGGUAUUUUGACCGUACAAAGGUAGCAUAAUCAUUAGUUUUUUAAUUGAAAACUUGUAUGAAUGGUUGAAUGAAAAAUUAACUUUUUUAAAAAAAAAAUUGAAGUUUAUUUUUUAAUUAAAAAGUUAAAAUUUUUUUAAAAGACGAGAAGACCCUAUAGAGUUUUAUAUUUUUAUGUAUAUUUUAAAAAAAGUUUAUUAUAAAUUUUAUAUUUAAAAAUAUUUUGUUGGGGUGACAAUAAAAUUUAAUUAACUUUUAUUAAUUAAUUACAUUAAUAUAUGAUUUAUUGAUCCAAUAAUAUUGAUUAAAAAUUUAAAUUACCUUAGGGAUAACAGCGUAAUUUUUUUUUAAGUUCAUAUUAAUAAAAAAUUUUGCGACCUCGAUGUUGGAUUAAGAUUUAAUUUUAGGUGCAGCAGUUUAAAAUUUAAGUCUGUUCGACUUUUAAAUUCUU
This 508-nucleotide ribosomal RNA is filed under the name Claustropyga brevichaeta. RNAcentral describes it as "partial large subunit ribosomal RNA". Lineage: Eukaryota; Metazoa; Arthropoda; Insecta; Diptera; Sciaridae. The record is from RNAcentral.